Long non-coding RNA from Oryzias melastigma (Indian medaka), 487 nucleotides. RefSeq lists it as uncharacterized. NCBI's taxonomy places the organism in Eukaryota, Metazoa, Chordata, Actinopteri, Beloniformes, Adrianichthyidae. The transcript has 3 exons. The record is from RefSeq and is a predicted model, not a curated record.
GAAUGAACGCCGCAAGAGAAUCCAAAUGUCUGAGUAGACUUCACUAACCUUCAAAGACUAAUCAGCCGUGAGUUUGUCUGAUGGAGAAGUACGCUGCAGCUGUGCAUCCGCGACAGGACAGCCGAGGGGUCAAAGGCACCAAAUCCGACAUGUCUGAUCAUCCAGACAAAAAGCACAAGCAGGGGAAGAACUCCAGGUCUCAACAAACGAGGCAGCAUCACCAAAGUCAAAGCCAUCACCGCCGCCAUCAUCAGUCAGACGAAAGUCUCAGUCAGGAUUUCCAUUCUGCAGAGGAGAACAUUGUCAGUGAUCAUCAGCAGAAACAUCGCCAUCCGUCCGACAACGCAAAGACCUCCUCUGUGCAUCACCACAAGAAUCGACAUGUUUCACUCUCUGAAACGUCUUCUUUCUCCACUUCAUCGUCUUCAUCCUCAACAUCUUCCUCUCUCUCUUCUUCUUCAACAUCUCUUUCCUCUUCCUCGUCGUC